AGCAAAGCACUGAAAAUGCUUAGAUGAGUAUUUAUACUCCAUAAACAC
This 48-nucleotide transfer RNA is filed under the name Sciurus vulgaris fuscoater. RNAcentral's name for it is "partial tRNA-Phe". The record is from RNAcentral. Lineage: Eukaryota; Metazoa; Chordata; Mammalia; Rodentia; Sciuridae.